This 486-nucleotide ribosomal RNA is filed under the name uncultured bacterium. RNAcentral's name for it is "partial 16S ribosomal RNA". It matches the Rfam family "Bacterial small subunit ribosomal RNA", at positions 29 to 507 of the family's 1533-position model. The record is from RNAcentral.
AUUGAACGCUGGCGGCAUGCCUUACACAUGCAAGUCGAACGGCAGCACGGGUGCUUGCACCUGGUGGCGAGUGGCGAACGGGUGAGUAAUACAUCGGAACAUGUCCUGUAGUGGGGGAUAGCCCGGCGAAAGCCGGAUUAAUACCGCAUACGAUCUACGGAUGAAAGCGGGGGACCUUCGGGCCUCGCGCUAUAGGGUUGGCCGCGGGCUGAUUAGCUAGUUGGUGGGGUAAAGGCCUACCAAGGCGACGAUCAGUAGCUGGUCGGAGAGGACGACCAGCCACACUGGGAGUGAGACACGGCCCAGACUCCUGCGGGAGGCAGCAGUGGGGAAUUUUGGACAAUGGGCGAAAGCCUGAUCCAGCAAUGCCGCGUGUGUGAAGAAGGCCUUCGGGUUGUAAAGCACUUUUGUGCGGAAAGAAAUCCUUGGCCCUAAUACGGUCGGGGGAUGACGGUACCGGAAGAAUAAGCACCGGCUAACUACGUG